Molecule: ribosomal RNA, 492 nt
Filed under: uncultured bacterium
Lineage: Bacteria
Description: partial 16S ribosomal RNA
Rfam family: Bacterial small subunit ribosomal RNA
Source: RNAcentral
AGUGAACGCUGGCGGUAGGCCUAACACAUGCAAGUCGAACGGCAGCACAGUAAGAGCUUGCUCUUACGGGUGGCGAGUGGCGGACGGAUGAGGAAUACAUCGGAAUCUACUUUUUCGUGGGGGAUAACGUAGGGAAACUUACGCUAAUACCUCAUACGACCUACGGGUGAAAGCAGUGGAUCUUCGGACCUUGCGCGAUUGAAUGAGCCGAUGUCGGAUUAGCUAGUUGGCGGGGUAAAGGCCCACCAAGGCGACGAUCCGUAGCUGGUCUGAGAGGAUGAUCAGCCACACUGGAACUGAGACACGGUCCAGACUCCUACGGGAGGCAGCAGUGGGGAAUAUUGGACAAUGGGCGAAAGCCUGAUCCAGCCAUACCGCGUGGGUGAAGAAGGCCUUCGGGUUGUAAAGCCCUUUUGUUGGGAAAGAAAAGCAGCAGGUUAAUACCCCGCUGUUCUGACGGUACCCAAAGAAUAAGCACCGGCUAACUUCGUG